Long non-coding RNA from Episyrphus balteatus (marmalade hoverfly), 835 nucleotides. RefSeq lists it as uncharacterized. The transcript has 3 exons. NCBI's taxonomy places the organism in Eukaryota, Metazoa, Arthropoda, Insecta, Diptera, Syrphidae. The record is from RefSeq and is a predicted model, not a curated record.
AAUGGCUUUGUUACAAAAAAAAAAAUAAGUUUGAACUAAAAGGAUCACCGAAUGCGAAUCGCGCUCUUGCAGUCGAAAUAUAUCAGCCCUCAUCAAAAUUAAUACCUAAACAGCAGGGUUUUUCAGAGGAAAGAAAAUAAAAUACAAUAGAAAUGGACUUACCUGAAAGAAAAGAGAAAAAAUUGAUUUAGUUAAAAUUUAUGUAAGUUGAAAAAUAAACUUAUUAACUUUGCCUGCCAAGAGAAAAGAAAGAGGAAGAGAAGAAAUUUUUGUGACAUUUUUGCUGAUUUUUUGUGAAGAAGAAGAAAAAGAAGAGGAAGAAGAAUAAAAAGAAGAAGAAGAAGAAGAAGAAGAAGAAGAAGAAGAAGAAGAAGAAGAAGAAGAAGAAGAAGAAGAAGAAGAAGAAGAAGAAGAAGAGGAAGAUAGUGAAGUCAUGUGUGUAAGUAUAUCCUAUAUCCAGUGGCCAAGAAAAACGCUUCCAACGAUACCUCUUUUCACUAACUACGAUAAGUAGUCUAGAAGCUAUGAAAGAACAGAUGAACAUAUCUAUACAUUACCGGUUGAACAUAUAACCCUCUUUUUAGCUUUUCCUUAGUCAGGUUAAACAAAAAAAAAAACAAAAAACAGCUAAAACGAAUCAAAGUUGAAAAUGUUUAUAGAAAAGUCCAACACUUAAUGCGAGAUAUCAUCGAAAUCUUUAUUAUUUCUUUAACCUCGAUUAUGCAAUUGCAGCCAUGUGUGUCGAAGUUUAACAACUAUUAAAUACAACAGACAGCCGGUUUUUGAGGUGACACAUUGUUGCACUUAAUUUUAACAACGUCAUUCGUAUAAAAUA